UACGUAGGGGGCAAGCGUUGGUCCGGAAUUAUUGGGCGUAAAGAGCGUGUAGGCGGUUUGGUAGGUCCGCUGUGAAAACUCGAGGCUCAACCUCGAGACGCCGGUGGAAACCAUCAGGCUAGAGUCCGGAAGAGGAGAGUGGAAUUCCUGGUGUAGCGGUGAAAUGCGCAGAUAUCAGGAAGAACACCCGUGGCUAAGGCGGCUCUCUAGUACGGUACUGACGCUGAGACGCGAAAGCGUGGGGAGCGAACAGG
This 254-nucleotide ribosomal RNA is filed under the name uncultured bacterium. RNAcentral describes it as "partial 16S ribosomal RNA". It matches the Rfam family "Bacterial small subunit ribosomal RNA", at positions 524 to 776 of the family's 1533-position model. The record is from RNAcentral.